Molecule: ribosomal RNA, 450 nt
Filed under: uncultured bacterium
Lineage: Bacteria
Description: partial 16S ribosomal RNA
Rfam family: Bacterial small subunit ribosomal RNA
Source: RNAcentral
GUGGGGAAUAUUGGACAAUGGGCGAAAGCCUGAUCCAGCCAUGCCGCGUGUGUGAAGAAGGUCUUCGGAUUGUAAAGCACUUUAAGUUGGGAGGAAGGGUAGUAACCUAAUACGUUGCUACUUUGACGUUACCGACAGAAUAAGCACCGGCUAACUUCGUGCCAGCAGCCGCGGUAAUACGAAGGGUGCAAGCGUUAAUCGGAAUUACUGGGCGUAAAGCGCGCGUAGGAGGUUCAGUAAGUUGGAAGUGAAAUCCCCGGGCUCAACCUGGGAACUGCUUUCAAAACUGCUGAGCUAGAGUACGGUAGAGGGUGGUGGAAUUUGCUGUGGAGCGGUGAAAUGCGUAGAUAUAGGAAGGAACACCAGUGGCGAAGGCGACCACCUGGACUGAUACUGACACUGAGGUGCGAAAGCGUGGGGAGCAAACAGGAUUAGAAACCCCGGUAGUCC